AGACCUGCCAACCCCAGGCCACCAAAAUGGAGCACAUGAACUUAACCACUACGCCAUUGGGUGGGCCCCCUGACAUUCUAAAUAAUAAUGAAAAGGAGAUGGGAAGUGUGAGGCGAGUUCGGGGAAAAAGCACUUGAAACUCAUCCAACGGAUAUGUGUCAUUGUCGACUGAGCUUAAAAGACAGAAAUCCCGACCCAAGCUUCCUUGAAUUUCGCAGAAAUUGAAGCGCCUUCCUUAUUUGCCUUGAGCAACCACUGUUUCCAGUGGCAUGAAGCUUUCUUAUGAGAAAGCCUUUCUUGGUCAUGAGAGACCAGGGCUGACUCCAGGGAAUAACUGUCUGUUUAAGCCAGGACGGGGGGAUGAUGAUGGCAAUGACAAUGGUGAUGACAGAUGGUGACAAUGGCAGUGGCAACUAACAUUUCGAGCCAUUAUUCUCAGCCAGAUGCUAUCCCAAUUUCUUUUUAGGACUGAAUAAUAUUUCAUCGUACGGACAUAUAUUCCAUUUUCCAUUCGCCUAUUGAAGGACAUCUUGAUUGCUUUCAGCUUGGGGCAAUUAUGAAUGAAACGACUAUAAACAUUCAUGUGCAGGUUUCGGUGUGGACAUGCGUUUUCAAGUCAGUGGGAUUUCCUGAGACCUGCACGGUCUCCAUGUGGCUUUGUCAUGCUGUCACCAUUUUCCAUGCCACUGAAAACAAACGGUGUGGCUGAGGAUGGAACCCCAUUUCACAUACGACAAAACUGAGAAUUCGAGUGGUCUGCCUGAGGCCCUGGAGCAGGAAAAAAGUGUAUCAAUUUAAGGGCAUAAAAGAAGAGGUGGGGCUCAAAUGGAACAAAUCUCUCGAAGGACUGGUGUUUGGGAAAUGAAGAAUGCGCUCCUCUGACCCUCCCAGCCACCCGGUAGGUGCCCAGCUGGGGUAUUGUCCCCCCUGCACAGAUGAGGAAUUUGAGGCCCUGAGGGGGGACGUGACCAUGACAGAGGAGCCCCUUGACUGUGUGGGAUUCUGCCACCCCAAGCCCUGGCAUCCCAGAGCCCAGGCCCCUCCACUCGGGCCGUGGAGCCCAUUCCUCUGCUGGCAGCCUGGGCCUCGGGACCCCGGAUGGCAAAGCCCUUGAGUGUCAGGAGCCUGAGCAGCAGUUCUGUCUCCAAAGCACUCACCACUGGCCCGCGUGCUCCCUACCUUAGCCCUGCGAGGCCCCUCUCACGGAGGAGGGAGCGCAGACCCACAGAGGGCGUGUGCAUCACACAGGUGUGGCCAUUGCCACUCUGCAAAUGGGGACGCAGACUCCAGCCAAGGGACAUGCCCAAGGUCACACAGCCGGUGGGUGGAGGGGCUGGGCCUGGAACCUGGGUUCUUUUCCUUUGUCCAUCUCGCAGCUCUAUUAAAGAUCUGAAUCCUGGAGGCCCGCUCCUCGGGGACCCACCCCAGGCCUCUCUCUGGACUCAUUUCUUUUUGCCAUGUUUGUUCCCAUGAUGCUUCUUGUUGGGGCUGUAGAAGCAUGGAGUGAGCCCCACACUGCAAGUCCGCCCCUUCUGUGAGCCUCGGUUCCAGCCCCUGGGAAAUGGCGCCGUUAACCCUGCCCGCAUCCUGCACCGGCUGCUGCGUGGGUCCCACGAGGUGGGAGACAAGAUCAAGAUCAGCACUUGGGUGAAGCGAGCGGGGCACACCCCUCAGGCCCCAAAUUGAAGGGGGUUCCCUAAAGCCGUAAUCAAGACAGACAGCCCAACG
Molecule: non-coding RNA, 1728 nt
Organism: Equus caballus (horse)
Lineage: Eukaryota; Metazoa; Chordata; Mammalia; Perissodactyla; Equidae
Source: RefSeq, a predicted model, not a curated record